UGUUAAAAUUUGUAUCUAUUUGUACUUUUAAAAAAUGACGUGCUUGACGGAAUAACCAAACAGUGACACGUGGUGUGCCACAAGUACAUGAUGCUAACAUACAAUACCAGUUUUUAAUAAUAGAGAUAGAUGAAACUUUAAUA
This is a non-coding RNA of Gossypium hirsutum (cotton), 143 nucleotides long. Lineage: Eukaryota; Viridiplantae; Streptophyta; Magnoliopsida; Malvales; Malvaceae. The record is from Rfam.